Molecule: unclassified non-coding RNA, 284 nt
Filed under: plant metagenome
Description: partial contains small subunit ribosomal RNA, internal transcribed spacer 1, and 5.8S ribosomal RNA
Rfam family: Eukaryotic small subunit ribosomal RNA (bases 1-53)
Source: RNAcentral
GGAGUAAAAGUCGUAACAAGGUUUCCGUAGGUGAACCUGCGGAAGGAUCAUUAUUGUAUAACCGAGGUGCGAGGGCUGUCGCUGACCCGAAAGGUCGUGCACGCCCGAGUGCCCUCACACACAUCCAUCUCACCCCUAUGUGCACCACCGCGUGGGUCCCCCUUUGGCUUGUUCGGAGGGGGGCUUACGUUUUCACACAAACUUUGUAUGCAGUGUAGAAUGUAUUUUUUGUUUUUGCGAUCACGCAAUCAAUACGACUUUCAACAACGGAUCUCUUGGCUCUC